CCGAAGGAACGCCCCCCGUCYUAUAAGCUAGGUGGKGRAGGUAACGCCCCACCCAAGGSGRMCGAAAAUUUAUCGGSCCYUAAGAGGGGUGAACGGMCCCAUUUGGGACUGAAGAUWCGGCCCCAGACUCCUCGGGGAGGCAGCAGCUAAGAAUAUUCCGCAAUGGAGGAAACUCUGMCGGAGCGACGCCGCGKGGAUGAUGAAGCCCGGAAYGUUGUAAAAUCCUUUUGAGUGUGAUGAAUAAAGCUUACAGRAAAUGGUAAGAAGAUGACCGUAGCACUUGAAUAAGGGGCGGCUAAUUACGUGCCAGCAGCCGCGGUAACACGUAAGCCCCGAGCGUUGUUCGGAAUUAUUGGGCGUAAAGGGCAUGUAGGCGGUUGUGCAAGCUUGGUGUGAAAUGCCGGGGCUUAACUCCGGCACUGCGUUGAGAACUGCACGACUAGAGUAACUGAGGGGCAGCCGGAAUUCCAGGUGUAGGGGUGAAAUCKGWAGAUAUCUGGAAGAACACCAAUGGCGAAGGCAGGCUACCAGCAGAUUACUGACGCUGAGGUGCGACCCCCCCUUGUUCAAACAGGAUUAGAUACCCUGGUAGUCCGCA
This 598-nucleotide ribosomal RNA is filed under the name uncultured Spirochaetia bacterium. RNAcentral describes it as "partial 16S ribosomal RNA". It matches the Rfam family "Bacterial small subunit ribosomal RNA", at positions 218 to 799 of the family's 1533-position model. Lineage: Bacteria; Pseudomonadati; Spirochaetota; Spirochaetia. The record is from RNAcentral.